Jaculus jaculus (lesser Egyptian jerboa) is the source of this 1490-nucleotide long non-coding RNA. RefSeq lists it as uncharacterized. Lineage: Eukaryota; Metazoa; Chordata; Mammalia; Rodentia; Dipodidae. The record is from RefSeq and is a predicted model, not a curated record. The transcript has 3 exons.
CAGAAAGACAGCAAAAGCAGCCCUGGCCGGUCCUCGGAGGAUGCGGGAGCCAAGAGGGUCGCACCCGCACCCCUGCGCCUUCCUGGUUUUCUGGAAAGACUUGGUCCCUUACCUUCUGACUCCUGGUGACACUACUCCUAACAAGGCACCUGUAUUGCAGGUGCUACACUCCCACCAGCCUCGAGGACUUGGCCUGUCUGAGCCAGUCCCCUCCAACACUGCCCACUCAACAGUCCACUGAUUGGACUUCUGUGGACCCCCACCCACACUGCUCACCACCCCAACACUGUCUACCCUGGAAGACUGCUGCACGACCCUUCCCGGAUUCCUGGAUUCCCGAGGAGUGCGGAAGUCCUGAACCACAAUGUCUAACUUCUACCCCCAGGCUCAACCUGGGGCAUACCUUCUCUCCCCCACCACUACUCCAUCCCUAUGGGCCCUUCACCCCUCUGUUGACUCGCCUCCAAUCUACCCAGGCAUUCCCCUCCUGCCUACUGACCUUGAGGUCAGCAGUGCUUUUGGGCCUCUGUUCCUCUGGCUUCUCCAUAUCCUGGGACACUAAGGGCCAUCUCCCUUUCUAGAAAAUUCUCCAUUUGGCCGUGACUUCCAGGAUGGACACUCACCUCUUCCAAGCUUCUAAUACCCCUCUCCAUGGAUAUAUCCGCCUCUUUCACAGCUCCCAGAGUCAACCCCAGCCCUCCUCACCCCACUUCUUUCAGGCCCUAUCCAGGUGACUCUUCAUCUCUCACCUGCAGAAACCCAAGGUCUCCUGGCAGAAGUCCAUCUCCAAACGCUUCUCCCUCCCAUUCCCUUAGACUCCAUCUGGUCUCCUGUCACCCACCAUCCUGACCCCUACUCCACAUUCCCUCUCUGGCUCCUGGGUAGGCUCCUUAGUCAGAUGCCAUUUUUGUUUUGGGGGUCCUUCUCCAUAAUUACACUUGUAUCUUAAGUGGCAACCCCCACCCUUGGACCUGCCCAUCCUUGAGUUCUAACCCUAUAAGGUGUCUGUAGGCAGACAGCUGGUGCCACACACACACACACACACACACACACACACACACACUCCUCUUUCUACAUAUGCACAUAUCUGUGAAGUCCACCCGGCCAGCCUGCCACCUAGUCCUCCCUGUGCAGAGGACUAUGAGAGAGGCUCCUGGGAAUUGCCUUCUGCACCCCAUUCCCAGCAGUCCAUUGGAAACCCGUUCCCUGAGCCGCCUUUCUGCUUUGGUCCAGGCAUGGCCAGGAAACAAGGUAUUUGACUACCUGGAGUCAUAGUAACCUUGGAUGUUUAUUGAAUUUCAAUAAUUAAUUUGUUUGUUUCCAUGUGCAUGCGUGUGUAUGUGUGUGUGUGUUUGUACACCAGGACCUUUUGCCAUUGCGAAUGACACCAAGUGCUUGAGCCACAUUUUUAUUUUUGGUUUGCUUUUUGUUUUUGUGUUUUGAGUAGGGUUCGCUGUAGCCCAGGCUGACCUGGAAUUCAAUAUGUAGAU